UUUAUGGAGAGUUUGAUCCUGGCUCAGGAUGAACGCUGGCGGCGUGCCUAAUACAUGCAAGUCGAGCGAACGGACGAGAAGCUUGCUUCUCUGAUGUUAGCGGCGGACGGGUGAGUAACACGUGGAUAACCUACCUAUAAGACUGGGAUAACUUCGGGAAACCGUAGCUAAUACCGGAUAAUAUUUUGAACCGCAUGGUUCAAAAGUGAAAGACGGUCUUGCUGUCACUUAUAGAUGGAUCCGCGCUGCAUUAGCUAGUUGGUAAGGUAACGGCUUACCAAGGCAACGAUGCAUAGCCGACCUGAGAGGGUGAUCGGCCACACUGGAACUGAGACACGGUCCAGACUCCUACGGGAGGCAGCAGUAGGGAAUCUUCCGCAAUGGGCGAAAGCCUGACGGAGCAACACCGCGUGAGUGAUGAAGGUCUUCGGAUCGUAAAACUCUGUUAUUAGGGAAGAACAUAUGUGUAAGUAACUGUGCACAUCUUGACGGUACCUAAUCAGAAAGCCACGGCUAACUACGUGCCAGCAGCCGCGGUAAUACGUAGGUGGCAAGCGUUAUCCGGAAUUAUUGGGCGUAAAGCGCGCGUAGGCGGUUUUUUAAGUCUGAUGUGAAAGCCCACGGCUCAACCGUGGAGGGUCAUUGGAAACUGGAAAACUUGAGUGCAGAAGAGGAAAGUGGAAUUCCAUGUGUAGCGGUGAAAUGCGCAGAGAUAUGGAGGAACACCAGUGGCGAAGGCGACUUUCUGGUCUGUAACUGACGCUGAUGUGCGAAAGCGUGGGGAUCAAACAGGAUUAGAUACCCUGGUAGUCCACGCCGUAAACGAUGAGUGCUAAGUGUUAGGGGGUUUCCGCCCCUUAGUGCUGCAGCUAACGCAUUAAGCACUCCGCCUGGGGAGUACGACCGCAAGGUUGAAACUCAAAGGAAUUGACGGGGACCCGCACAAGCGGUGGAGCAUGUGGUUUAAUUCGAAGCAACGCGAAGAACCUUACCAAAUCUUGACAUCCUUUGACAACUCUAGAGAUAGAGCCUUCCCCUUCGGGGGACAAAGUGACAGGUGGUGCAUGGUUGUCGUCAGCUCGUGUCGUGAGAUGUUGGGUUAAGUCCCGCAACGAGCGCAACCCUUAAGCUUAGUUGCCAUCAUUAAGUUGGGCACUCUAAGUUGACUGCCGGUGACAAACCGGAGGAAGGUGGGGAUGACGUCAAAUCAUCAUGCCCCUUAUGAUUUGGGCUACACACGUGCUACAAUGGACAAUACAAAGGGCAGCGAAACCGCGAGGUCAAGCAAAUCCCAUAAAGUUGUUCUCAGUUCGGAUUGUAGUCUGCAACUCGACUACAUGAAGCUGGAAUCGCUAGUAAUCGUAGAUCAGCAUGCUACGGUGAAUACGUUCCCGGGUCUUGUACACACCGCCCGUCACACCACGAGAGUUUGUAACACCCGAAGCCGGUGGAGUAACCUUUUAGGAGCUAGCCGUCGAAGGUGGGACAAAUGAUUGGGGUGAAGUCGUAACAAGGUAGCCGUAUCGGAAGGUGCGGCUGGAUCACCUCCUUUCU
This 1554-nucleotide ribosomal RNA is filed under the name Staphylococcus aureus. Its description in RNAcentral is "16S ribosomal RNA". It matches the Rfam family "Bacterial small subunit ribosomal RNA". The record is from RNAcentral. Lineage: Bacteria; Bacillati; Bacillota; Bacilli; Caryophanales; Staphylococcaceae.